RNAcentral lists this non-coding RNA (45 nucleotides) under Schistosoma mansoni. Lineage: Eukaryota; Metazoa; Platyhelminthes; Trematoda; Strigeidida; Schistosomatidae. The record is from RNAcentral.
AUCCAUCUAACGAGUCCGAAAUGGGACGAAACGCGCAUCCUGUAU